CCUACGGGAGACAGCAGUGAGGAAUAUUGGUCAAUGGGCGCGAGCCUGAACCAGCCAAGUCGCGUGAGGGAAGACGGUCCUAUGGAUUGUAAACCUCUUUUGUCGGGGAGCAAAAGACGCCACGCGUGGCGUUCCGAGAGUACCCGAAGAAAAAGCAUCGGCUAACUCCGGGCCAGCAGCCGCGGUAAUACGGAGGAUGCGAGCGUUAUCCGGAUUGAUUGGGUUUAAAGGGUGCGCAGGCGGAAGAUCAAGUCAGCGGUAAAAUUGAGAGGCUCAACCUCUUCGAGCCGUUGAAACUGGUUUUCUUGAGUGAACGAGAAGUAUGCGGAAUGCGUGGUGUAGCGGUGAAAUGCAUAGAUCUCACGCAGAACUCCGAUUGCGAAGGCAGCAUACCGGCGCUCAACUGACGCUCAUGCACGAAAGUGUGGGUAUCGAACAGGAUUAGAUACCCCAGUAGUC
This 459-nucleotide ribosomal RNA is filed under the name uncultured bacterium. RNAcentral describes it as "partial 16S ribosomal RNA". It matches the Rfam family "Bacterial small subunit ribosomal RNA", at positions 338 to 795 of the family's 1533-position model. The record is from RNAcentral.